CAUUUUGAAUGAACCCUGUCAUAAAAUGAACCGGAACCAUGUUCAUCGAAUGUAAAUAAACAAAAGUUCACUAUCCUCGAAAAAUCUAUGCUUCGAUAAAUUUUUCGAGGAUAGCCAUGCAAAAUGUAAACAAAUAUUCGAGGAUAAGUUUUUGUCAAUGUAUUGUGUCUUGUCGUGUCUCGUCAUGUGUGUUCGGGAGUUCCUCUAUUCUUGUAUUUGCUCUUUUCUCUCCUGAUGUUGCUUUGCUUCUCUUCAUGUCCGUAGACUCUUCGCGUUGUGUGGUGGUAUGGUUGUGUGUAACAAUGGAACUUUCGCUGCAAGGUUGGAGGGGGUGGGCGUCGAGUGUGUUGUUUAUCAGCUGUGAUCCGUGCGUGUGAAACUUUUUCGGUGUGCUGAAACGGGUGAGUAAUAGUAAGAUUAGAAACAGAAUGCCGUGUGCAUGUAUACCUCAGCCUGAAGACUGAACCACCAGACUUGCUCAGAGCAGGAAUGAAAUACACGUAAUAUAAAUUGGAGCGUGGUACGCUUGCGCGUAGCAGAUCAUGAUUCAAAAAUCUGUUUGCUCUACAAAGUCGAUGAGUGCAUCUAAUCAGUUCUGCAGCGCCAUGGUGAUCGUUGAGAGGUGUUAGCACGGAAGACAGAGCGGGAAAAGGUUCACGACAACUAUGCGGUGAGGAGGAUAUCAACGGAUUGUGCAUUUACAGUUAGCGGGUGAGCACACGCUGUACCUCGUAGGAGAACCUGGCCAUGGGUAUCGGAGAAUGCAUAUCGUAUGCCGGAAUCGUGCUUGGCCUUGAACACUGACUCUGCUCGAUCACGGGUUCCAAAUUGGUCAUUACGUUACCGGCGGCUUGCCAGCAAUCAGCAUUGGGUGUUCUUUUUCCGUUCAGUUCUUCCUACCGUCCUGCUGUGUAUAAAGUGCCUUCCAUUAACAUCUCCCGACAGCAAUGGUUGCUGCUAGCCCGGAUUAUGAUGGUGCUGUUGCUGAAGAGGAAUGUUGUGUUGCCUGGUUGCACUGGACAGGAUGGUUCACACAGUGUAGUCAAUCUCCUGUUGGUGUCGAUUGUUCCCUUCGAGCCGGAGGCCCAUCCCGGCCGCUCAGUGCGAUAGUGUUAGAUGCUAGAAAUACAAGAUGUAAAUAUAAAAUGGUUACUUUACAUGUUAAUACAGAAGAGGCGAUUAUAUAGGUUAUAGAA
This is a long non-coding RNA of Anopheles stephensi (Asian malaria mosquito), 1196 nucleotides long. RefSeq lists it as uncharacterized. The record is from RefSeq and is a predicted model, not a curated record. The transcript is spliced from 4 exons. Lineage: Eukaryota; Metazoa; Arthropoda; Insecta; Diptera; Culicidae.